RNAcentral lists this long non-coding RNA (352 nucleotides) under Brachypodium distachyon (stiff brome). RNAcentral's name for it is "long non-coding RNA (BDIS_LNC005818)". The record is from RNAcentral. Lineage: Eukaryota; Viridiplantae; Streptophyta; Magnoliopsida; Poales; Poaceae.
AACACAUAAACUUCUGCUUCUUCUUCCACCUCUAGCCGAUGUCAUGGUGCCGUUCUGAUGCAGUGCAACAAUUUUAAUCCUCACCCACCACCACCAGGCGCGCGCACCGCAAACCAAAAUUCGUAGCCGCUGUGUCUUAUAGGCCGAGCGCGCCGAGCGGCGUCUUGCCCUGUCCGGCCUCGAAGUAGAAGAUGAGCAUGGCGAGCAUGGCGAGGCGCGCGUGCUUGAUCUCGGCCAGCUUCAGCCGCUCGAGCUUGUCGGUGUCGGGGAUGUAGACGCCGUCCUUGGUGUCGCCGCCGAGUCCGAGCGGGUCGAAGAACUUGCCGCCGGGGUAUCCUUGAUCGCCCGUGGA